Molecule: transfer RNA, 78 nt
Filed under: Thermoplasmata archaeon
Lineage: Archaea; Methanobacteriati; Thermoplasmatota; Thermoplasmata
Also listed under: 3 other names
Description: tRNA-Arg
Rfam family: tRNA
About the family: Transfer RNA (tRNA) molecules are approximately 80 nucleotides in length.
Source: RNAcentral
GGGCACGUAGUCUAGCUUGGUCAAGGCGACAGCCUCCUAAGCUGUAUGUCGCCGGUUCGAAUCCGGUCGUGCCCGCCA